This 301-nucleotide ribosomal RNA is filed under the name uncultured bacterium. Its description in RNAcentral is "partial 16S ribosomal RNA". It matches the Rfam family "Bacterial small subunit ribosomal RNA", at positions 509 to 807 of the family's 1533-position model. The record is from RNAcentral.
CAGUCGCCGCGGGAAUACGGAGGGGGCUAGCGUUGUUCGGAAUUACUGGGCGUAAAGCGCACGUAGGCGGCUUGGUAAAUUAGAGGUGAAAGCCCGGAGCUCAACUCCGGAAUUGCCUUUAAGACUGCCGAGCUAGUAGGUGAGAGAGGUAAGUGGAAUUCCGAGUGUAGAGGUGAAAUUCGUAGAUAUUCGGAAGAACACCAGUGGCGAAGGCGGCUUACUGGCUCAUUCUAGACGCUGAGGCGCGAAAGCGUGGGGAGCAAACAGGAUUAGAUACCCGUGUAGUCCCUGUCUCUUAUAC